Triticum aestivum (bread wheat) is the source of this 203-nucleotide long non-coding RNA. RefSeq lists it as uncharacterized. The transcript is spliced from 3 exons. NCBI's taxonomy places the organism in Eukaryota, Viridiplantae, Streptophyta, Magnoliopsida, Poales, Poaceae. The record is from RefSeq and is a predicted model, not a curated record.
GCGUCUACUACCUCCGCACGGGGGCCUGCGGCUAUGGGAAGAGCUGCAGCUACAACCACCCUCGCGAUCGCGCCGCCGCGGCCUGAUCAUUCACACCGUCAUAUGGUCAUAUUUGUUUCCGAGACUUCAGAGCAGCUUUAUGCAGCUCGGUCAACUAGGCCGCUGGGACGCUGGGGGAGAAGGACAUCGGUGCAGAGCAUGGC